AUUGAACGCUGGCGGAAUGCUUUACACAUGCAAGUCGAACGGCAGCACGGGAGCAAUCCUGGUGGCGAGUGGCGAACGGGUGAGUAAAGUAUCGGAACGUGCCCAGUCGUGGGGGAUAACGUAGCGAAAGCUACGCUAAUACCGCAUACGAUCUAUGGAUGAACGCGGGGGAUCGCAAGACCUCGCGCGAUUGGAGCGGCCGAUAUCAGAUUAGGUAGUUGGUGGGGUAAAGGCUCACCAAGCCGACGAUCUGUAGCUGGUCUGAGAGGACGACCAGCCACACUGGGACUGAGACACGGCCCAGACUCCUACGGGAGGCAGCAGUGGGGAAUUUUGGACAAUGGGCGAAAGCCUGAUCCAGCCAUGCCGCGUGCAGGAUGAAGGCCUUCGGGUUGUAAACUGCUUUUGUACGGAACGAAAAGGUUUGGCCUAAUAAGCUGAGCUCAUGACGGUACCGUAAGAAUAAGCACCGGCUAACUACGUGCCAGCAGCCGCCGUAA
Molecule: ribosomal RNA, 500 nt
Filed under: uncultured bacterium
Lineage: Bacteria
Description: partial 16S ribosomal RNA
Rfam family: Bacterial small subunit ribosomal RNA
Source: RNAcentral